UCCAAGAUUCUCUAAUCCAAUGGUGUUUAGGGAUGGUCCACCGGUGGACCAGUUUAUAACUUGCUCACCCUAGUGGGCACCUCUAAUAAAUAAUAAAUAAGUUCAAUUACAUUUUGGUCCCUAUAAUUUAAGAAUAUGUAAUUUUAUUUUCUAUUGUUUUAAUUGCUCGCAACAAAGUCUCAAUACUUUCAAAAUUGAACAAUUUGAUUAAAAUGUUAAUUUGUCAUCUCACAACUACCAAAAGAAUUGGCAUAUAUCAUAAUUUUUUGUGUAAACUGAAAUCGUUUUAACAAUGCCAUUAUGUAAAAGAAUAUGACCUACGUCGACUUUUCUUAUUAAUUAUUAGAUGACAAGUUAAGAUCAAGACCAAAUUCGUUCAAUUUUAAAAGUAGAAGAACUUAAUUGAAGUUAUUAAAAAUACAGAGACCCAAAGUGUGAUUAUUAGCUGAUAAGUUAAGGUCAUGACUAAAUUCAUACAGGUUUGUAUAAAAUUUAAUAUUGAGAUUGAUUCACAUUGUUUUAUCCUGCAUCAUGAACUUAAAACCAUAAAUGAAAAUAAAAAAAUUGUCUCAUGCAAAUUAUAGGUUAAUAAGUCUCGUUAUUACAUCUUAAUAUGGGUAUUUACUUGUAUCAACAUUUCGAAAGUCGGCACUUCAUCUAAUCAAUCACAUUCCCGCAGUGAAAAACAUGCUAUAAAUAUCAAUUAAACGAACAUCAAAUCAUGCUACAAGUAGGACUUGUAAUAAUAUCUCAACUUUUAUUUUUAGUUGUAUGAGCUUUACUUUUCUUUACGGCAGUAUACGCAUUAUUAAAUUCAUACAUGACCCAAAAUUAGAGGAGUUCCUCUACAUUUAACCCUAACAAUAUAUAACUACUUCACCUGCUGGGUGGAUACAAUUUACAGGUAAGUGAUCACACAACGAAACAAACUUGAGGGCACAUUCCUACGAAACCUUCCAAUUUUCAUUAGAUUAUAUUUUUUCAGAGCAUCACACGGAACCAUGUCAAAAUAACUGCACACUUGAAUUUCAGGGAGGAGAGUCAACAAAAAUCCCUUUUGUUUCAUGAAAUGACAGCACCUGGCAAAAGAUAAUGUUAUAGCCUCACAAAAUCCUUCCUACUCGUCAUCGUCGUCUUCUUCAGGCGCCUCUUUUAGCCACUACAAACAAGAAUCAAUAAAUGGCUUAUAUAAGAAAGUAAUACAUCUCAUAGGAUAGUUGGAAAAAAAUGCAAGUAUAACCUAAUUUUACAAGUGUGUAAAAAUAGAUAAGAAUACUCACUUGAAUUAAUUUUUGGGCCUGCUUAACAAAAACUUUAUCAUAUUCAUCUGCGUCUUUCUUCUCAUCUUCCCAACUCAAAAUAGCAUCUUCGUCUACAAUAUCUUCUUCAUACAUGAAGUGCAAUAUCUGAAAGCAAUUAAGAAGUUAGGAGGGGGAAAAGAAAAUCAAAUUUAGUGUUAGAAUGUGAAACUAUUCACUCCAAUUAUGUUACAAGGAAUGAAGUAGUAUAGGUAGGUAUAGCAGCAGGAAAAGGUGACGGUUAAAAAUUGUCCAAUCUCAAUAUCACUAAAGAAGUGGUCGCUGCCGACAAAGUUAGAUAAAGAAGAAUGAAAGCACGAGAACAGAAGGGAAGUUUUAUUGUGUGAAAGUCCAUUUCAUAACUUGAAAACGCACCAGCUUUAGACAUAAAAAUAUCUUCAAUAAAUAAUGGAAGAUAUAGACAGCUAAGUUUAUAGCUCAAUGCAUCUUUCUGACAUACAUCCUUACAGAACGAAGACAAAUCAACAACUCGUUAAAAAUAAGCAUACCUUUGUGAACAAUGGAGCAUACUCCUUCGCAGAUUCCAGACACAUUUCUUCAAGUUUUAGUAUUACUUCAAUCUGGAGUGAAAAAAUUGAAACCACGGAGAGAGGGCAGAUGAUUAAGUAAUAGGAAUCAAAUAGGGGCAUCAAGUAAAUGGUUACUGUAUUCGAAACAUUAAUAUUACUGACAACAUUUCAAUUAAAAAAUACCAUGCCAAUGUUAUGUAACAACUCGAGAGUUCAUUAAACGAAAAAAUUGCCUUCAUGUUUCACACAAUCAAAGAUCUUUUGCUUUUCUUUCUCAGAUGCGUGAAACCACCGCAAUGUCACAAUCAGAUCAAGCAUUGACCAAGCUAAAAGAAUGCUCGGCACUGCAUAUGUAUACAGCAAAACACAGCACUGCAUAUGUAUGCAGCAAAAACACAGCACUGCGCAUUUAAUUUUGUGAAAUUGUCUUUUCAUUAAGCCUUAAAAAUGGACAUCAGAUGAUAAUUAAACCAUUGAAAAAAAAAUGUAGGAUAGAUUCUCCAAAAAACUACAGGAAUGAACGUGAAUAAUUUCAACACGUAAGAAAGAAUUGACAGCCGCACCUGCUCAUCCAUAUCACUCAGAUAGGGUGCAAGAACAUUUUUCCAUUGUUUAAGUACAUCCUGAACAUUCUUCAUCAAGCUAUCUGAAAAAUCAUCCCAGACAUCAUAAAAAGCAUUAAGCAAGCAUAAGAAAUACCAAAAAAGAAAAAGAAUAACAUAUCUACAAACUGAUAAAAAAUAAAAUCAGAUGAAUCAGAACUACCUAACAUUACCCCAGUAGAAGGAGUCAGACACGUGGAUCAACCAACACCAUUAGAAUCAAUCAAAAACCAAAUUUUCAGUAAAACCAUCUAGAGCAAAUUCUUUUCAAUUAUUCUAAUGUUUUAUUAAGUCUUCCUCUACCCCUUUUAAUUGCACUGCCUUCCACUUGACUUGUCACUUUUCUCACUAGAGCCUCCAACUGACUCAUUUAUCUCAUUCUGAAUAUUUAAUUGUUUGGUAUCUCUGACAAGUUUUUCGGGACACCAAGUUUUCCAAAUAGGUUUGUAGUUCUAAACUAAGUUAUGGAAGAAUCUUUUAUCAAAUAAUAAGAAAGGAAUGGCUAAUAAAAAAGGCAUGGAAAAUAAUAAUAAGAUCAGGUAGCCAUAGAGAGAAGGAAUAAGCUUACCAGCUGAACUAUGGGGCAUGUCUAUAGCAUGUUUCAUCAUUGCAUAAAAUACAGCUCCAGCGCAAUCAGCAGUUACCUUAUUGUAUGACAACCUAACACAUAAAUAAAGGCCAUGUUUCUAUUAAUACAGCCCAGUAAACACAUUAAAAAGUGUGAUCAUAUAAAAAUAAUAAAAACAUAUGUUGAGAACACCAAUGUCGAUAAAUUGCAGUAAGAAUACUUCUAAACACAUCCUAUGAAGAUACCAUAGCUUCUAGACAUAAUGGAAUGCAGAUUCUUUACAUUUUUUAUUAAGAGCAGUUGUAAGUUUGGAUGAUCUAGAAAAAGCAGAAUUCCCGAUCUCAUUUCAAGGAUAUCCUAUAAUUUGAUUGCUAUCCUCAGCUUUUUAGACAACUCAAGAAACUCUGUUACACCAAUAAUUGUCUGCCUCCUUCAUUUCCAAUUUGUUAAUAAACAUCAGCAUCAAAACAACUGAAUGCAUGCUUGAAUAUGGGAGGGCAUGUUAAAUUAACGGCUUAUAGAGUGGAUUUACUAAUGGAACACAAUAUAGGUAGAUGUAAGAGAACAGACGAAAAAGGUAAAAAAGGAAGUUGAACAUGAAAACUGAAGGUAACUCAAAUGCUCUGCUCUAUAAUUAGUAUGAGAUGCCACCAUUAGAAAUGUGAAACAACAUCUAUGCACACGUUCACCACAUCCAAAAGUAGAUCUGAGAUCCAAUAUACAGACCGACACCAGAACUCUCUCUCCCUCUCUCUCUCUCUGUGUGUGUGCGUGGUUGUAAUUUGAUGCUUGAAAAUCGCAAGAAACGGAAUAGGCCUCCUACAGUCUACAUACAACUUCAAACAAUCCACAUAAAUAAAUUACAUACUUCAAGGAGUUGACUUCUAAGAUCAAAUGGUUAUCUUGUAUGUUUUCAUCCACACCCCUGAGAAAAGUUGCUUCAACCUGCAAAUGAUAGGAUAUUUAAAAAUCUGAUAUCCACAAAGUGUAAGUGACAUAAGUUUUACAGGUUAAAAUUCACACCUCUUUAUCAAAAUCAUCUCUAGAAUCGUCAUUAUCAUCAUCAUCUGAAUCACUAGAAUCAGGUUUCAGCUCCCCAGAAGGUGGGAGAAUGGUGUCAUCAUGUGUUAACUCCAAAUCAUCUUCAAUAGCUUUCAGUGCUUCCAAAAUUUUAUCUGCAGUAAUAGGCGCUACUGAAUGCCUCCACUCUUCUUCAUGGCCUCCUUCACAUUUUGGCCAAACAUAACCAGCCCCACCCAUACCUAGCUGAUCAAUGAAACAAAUUGAAAUGAGAAACAUUAAAUUCAUUAUAGAAUGAAAUUUUUAUCAACCAAAUCUUAGCUUCACAGAUUAAGAAUCUCAAAUUCCUAAUUAGGUUAAAUGUCUAUAAUUAUUUUGGUACAAGAUGAGACUGGAGCCAAAAAAGAAAGCUAGAUUAGUGUUAGUGUUCUGUACUAGACGAUUAGGAUGUACAAGCUUAUAGAAGUUUGUAGUGUAUGGAGUUCAGACAUGUGUUAAAACUGGCAUAUGUAUCCAUUCUAUUCUAGCUGUAAGCCUGUGACCAAUUCUGUUGUAAAAUAAAUGGACAACUCAUUGUUAGAUUAGACAAUUUAUGUUAUUGGGCUGGUUUCUGUUAGUUGAGGGAGUUCAAGGGAUUGUCAGUAAUUAAAUCUCUAACAAAAUGGGAGGAUAGGAAAUAGAAAAGAAAGAAGAUAAGGCAUCAUUCUGGAUAGUUGGAGAUUUGUCUGCGUGGGAGAUCUCACGCUUUAGAAAUCCUGAGAUAAACCAUAACCAAAUUCGGAUAGCUUGUAUUCAUCCUUUCUAAUGUUCAAGGGCUAGGGAAGGUUUCAUCAACCAAAUUCUAUCUUUUCUUUCAUUUUCCCCCUAAUAUCUGAACAACAACCAAUCAACUAAUUACAAACAAUCCCUAGAACUCCCUCAACUUGCAUAAACUAGCCCAAUAACAAAAAUGAGCCCAUCGGGCUUACCGAACACCCAACGACAAAGCAGCUACAUCUAACUAAUCAAUAACUUGCAAUAUAUAUACUCUACCACACAUGUAAUCAUUGUAACUUUUCUAUCAGAGUUAAGAAUGAACAGUAUAGCUAUUCUCAGAGAUUCUCCUAUUAACUUUCUCACACCUUGUAUCUCCAAUGCCCAACCAUUCUGCAGUAACAGACCUAACUGACCUUUCUUUUCCGGGUUCCUAACACAAUUUCAUUAAAAAUCACUUGCAUCUAAACUUAAUCUUCAUGAUCUGCCUACAAAUAAGUUGAGACAUACUCAACACAAUGGUGAAAAUUAUAAAGUGAAAAGUUCUGCAAAACAAACCUCUGAAGGAGGGCUAAAAUGUGUAUCCAAUUCCUGGUAAGCAAUUUCUACAUCUGACUUAUCCACUGUACUGGUGAUAGCUGCAAACAUUAAAAUGGUAAUUGGAAGGUAUAAUAUAUGCAUUUGACCUAUCAAUACAUAGCAUAAAGAAAAAGGAAUUUGCUUAUAACUUAAUAUAGAAGCUCCAGUAAGAAUAAUUGACCAAAUGGAGAAUAACCCAAUAAUUCAGUGAAGUAUUCUUUAAGGACCUAAAAUUUGUAUUAUAAAUCAAUUACAGAAUCAAACUUUUACUGUUACCAACUAAUGGCUUCAAGAUUACUAAAACAUAUUUUAUUGAAAAAUGGAAGACAAAAAUAUCCCACAUGACAAACAAAAAUAACUUAUAAUAUAGACAGAAUACACGGCAUAGGCAUUUGAGCCUUUCACUAAUUAUUUAUAAAUAAAUACUUUUCAAAAAGUUUAGUUCUUCUACAGCAAAGAAGACUAAGAAAAACUUAAUUAAACCACUCAAAAGGAUUUAAAUCUUUACAAUCCCUCCAAAGAAUAAGAUUUUGAUAAAGUAUAAUAACAUUGAUUGAUCCAUGUAGCUGGCACACAAAAAGUAAUUUAUAUACAAGAUUACUGGAAUUACAUAAAUCAAGCCACUCCUAACUAAAACAGCUAAUCGAGCUCAAAAUACUCAUUUUAAGAAUUAGACACACUCACUCAAGAAAAUUGAAUUCUAUGGAAAUAAAUUAUCAGUGGCGUCAGUGUUGCUUUUGGGUCGAAACAACUGUCUCACUGGUUUUGUUAGUUAUGAGAAAUAUUUUAUACUCUAGCAUUAGUAAAUUAAAUAAUAGGAGAAUAAAAGAUGAGGGUAUGUAUCUCCAGGGCACAGUUGAAAGUUAAAUGAAAAUUCAGCAAUACCACUAGCACUAUCAGCAUAUUCGAGCUCCUCAUCACUAUCUUCCUCAAUUGGCUGCUGUAAUAGAGAUACUUUUGAAUAAGGAGGAACAACAAACCCCUGCCCAACUACAACCUAGAAGCAAAAAAAUUAUGAUUGCAUCAAAAGCUGUAUACAUCAUGAAUAAUGGGCAAAUUCCAUCUAGCAAUGAAUAACUAAAAAAGUCUCUGUAUUCCAAUCUUUGCAAUGGAAAGAGUAACUGAAAUAAACAGGAAGUCAACUGAACUUAACCCAGUUCUUUUCUUAGAUUCAUGCAUGGUCAUAAAAAGUGUAAAUAAAGAAACAGCAUAAGAAAAAACAUUAUAGAAAAUAAUAGUUAAUGUUAUAAUACUAUAAUAGAGAAUAAAAAAAAAAACUGCUUCAAUUAUUCUUGAGUAUCAACUAAAGCCUUUAGUUUAAAAGAUCUUAAUACUUAAAGAAGUCCAAACAUAUGAGAAACCAUAAGAAUGAAAGUAUGGCUCCUGAAAUGGAAUGGUAUAAGGACACGAACCUUGAAAGACAAAACAACACCAGGUUCCAGAACAGCUCCCGACUUCAUAGUCGCUCCAUCACAUACAAUUGCAUGCCAAAGUUUGCAGCCAUCUUCUAUGGUGACGUUAUCCCAUAUAUAGCAUCCCUCUAUGAGUACAUCUGACCCAAUUUUACAUCCUUCUCCAAUAAUAGAAUUUGAAAUUUUAGUGUUAUACCCAAUUUUGGUGCCAGAUCCUAUAGCUGUGGACGGGCCAAUAACAGCAGAUUGUGACUGAGAUAUUUCUGAAAGAACAAAAGAAUUUAUUAAAACAGAAUAUAUUAAUAAAUGAAAAUUAAGAAAAUCAGUAAAAAAUAGUUUGGACUUUGGACUCGAGAAUCUAAAAGCAAGGGUCAUAAUAGGAUAAUUACUUAUUCAGAAAGUUUAAUCUCAUAGGAGAUGAAUAACCAAGUACAUUACACGAAGAAACAAACAUAGUCAUUGAUUGAAACUAAACCAAUAUAUGAGUAUUGAGUACACCAUAUUAUCAUCCAAGGUUUAAAACUCUUCACCAGCACACCAUUCAACACUAAACUUUACAUCCAUACCUGAAGCACGAUACAUUCCUUGUCGUUCAAGUUUAGUAGCUGUCUUGCCAAAAUUCAUAACAUCUGGUACAAAUGGAUAUGUCCAUCUAUGAAUUAUAUCCUUGCUGACAGUGUCGUAACUUCGGAAAUUAUCAAUCCUUGCAGCAUAGUCUGAGUGGAUUUCAUGAACAAAGAUUUUGUACCCCAUUAUCUGAAAGAAAUAUAUGGUAAUGUUAAAGAGGUGUAUACAGAAUGCUAAAAUCAAGAGAAUCUGACCCAUAGAAGAAUCUUUUUUUUUUGAAAUACCCAUAGAAGAAUCUAUUAGCAACCUAAAUGGUGAGGUAGUAUCCUAAAAUAACUUGAAGGCUUGUGCAAGAAAUGCACAAUACUUUCUCAUAGUUCCAAUGCAUCAUGACAAGAAACUUUUGGAAAAGUGACCCAAUACUGAAGUAGUUUACUAUUAUAGUUUCAACACAUGCAAACAUGUGAUGUGAUCAAUACAAAAUAGCACCUAUGGUUAUAUGUGUAACGUGUUCCUCAAAUAAGGCACUACUGAAGGAAUGUUGAAGGUCUGUAUGAGAUUAAAGUUAGCUCUUUUGUUGCAGUAAAGGAACAAUUCAUGAGGAUGAGCUAUUUCCUUCCGUUACAAACUUGAGGAAUAAUUCCCAAAAGAAUAGCAUACACUAGAGUACUGAAACAACAAUGUAUGUCAAUUUAGCAUGUGGAAGAGAAAUUACAUCAUCAACAAGCAAUCCCUUGACAAAAUGACGCCGUAGAUGUUGGUAGUCAAAAUUGUCCGUAAAUAGGCUAAGGACUUCCGGCGAGCAUAUGUCAAUGUAACAAUCCUGCAGAAAGGAAAUUAUCGACCUAAUGAACUCCGAAAGUAUAAUAAGGUUGCAUAGGCCACAAGGAUAUGACCUAACAAAGUAGUAAUGAAUAACAAAGAAACAAUAAGAACAGUAAAUAGUUCACAAAACAACUAAUGAUAAAAUUAGAUUGGUAACACAUCAUUGAUUGAGCGUCUCUUGGCACACAGACCAAUCAUGAGGUAAGCAUCACUGACUAGGAAAUAUAUUAAGUUAAAGAUUCUACCUGCUUGUCAUGGUGCAGAGAGAGGGAAGGAUUAUCAACAAGCAAUGACUUAUCAAGAUGUAAAGUGCUUUUUGAAUAGUCUGCCUUAUCCUCAUAAUACAAAAGCUGCUUGGUAUCAGGAUCAAUGGCCAUAAAAAUUUCAUCAGUACCAAGUCGAGACUGAUGGAUAGCUUGAUUAGGUUUUGACCGUUUGAUGACCAUGGUCAUUACAGCGUUACUAUCUUUCUUCUUCCUUUCUUUAUGUUCUAGAAGUGCCUGAGUAAGUGACAUGUUGCUUACAGUAUCUCCACUGAUCAGGACAAAGUCUCCAUGUAUCUUGAAAACAACAUUAUCAUAAAGUGUUACUACUACACAUACAAAACCUGGUCCCAAUAAAUUACUCAAAGUGUGAAAGAAGACUAUGUUAACAAAAUCACCACUCAGACAGUAAUAACAAGAUCAUCAUGUGUGAUGUGUGAAGUACUACACAUUUUUUAAUAAUCCACUACAGAGAAAUGCUACCAACAUAUUUUGAACACACUCUUCAACACAUUCACUACGAUUGGCUCAUUUUUUACAAAGUCAACAUGUUUCUUUAUAAGUUAUCAGUUUACCAGACAAAUUGUGUAACAUUACAAAAAAAUAGACAAAUCAUAGAGACAUGUUCAAAAGAGUGCAUUGCCGGCAAUCUCGGUAUCAAAUCACAAAACACAAUUACAAUGGACUGGCAGUGGCAGUGGCAAUUCCUAAAAAGAAGCUAUAAAAACAGAGCAUGCAGAACUUGUCAUCAUAGAUAGAGCCAUGUUAGAAGACAAACCACAUUGCGCUCAUAGAUCACGCGGAGCGCGUCUCCAGCGCUCACAGAAUUCUGCGACUCGAUAGUGGUCACGGUGAAAUUCGGUUGCGAUAACCACUCGGAUUUGUCCAAAUAUUGAAUCACUUGCUUGGCAUGAGCACAGCAGAAAACGAAAACCUCUUCAACACCAGCGGAUUCGAGCCAGGUCAAGGUGUAAUUGAUCAUCGGAACAUUCACGAGUGGCAAUAACACCUACAAUAGCAGGAAAAACAAAACUGCGUUACAUUGCGUGAUUCAACAGCAAAUGCAUUGAAUCCAAAGAGGGAGAGGGAGAAAAAGUACCUUGGGGCGUUCAAGCGUGAUAGGUCUGAACUUGGUGGUGAAGCUAUCAGCCAAGAGAAUGGCCUGCCAUGGAACCCUAACCAAAUCGUCAGGGUCCUCUGAAACCCUAGCGGAGCUUUUCUUUGGUGCACCCAUUUUGUUCGUUACACGAAGCACGCACGAUUAACUGCUAUCCGCAACGAUCAGAAGCGAUGCUACUCUGACUACUUAGUUUGAUUUUCGCCUUCUCUUCCGUCGCAGACAGGUAACUGCGGAGGAGGAAGAAGACGCAUGGUGUUUUGUAUUAAUGAUUCCGAACAAUAGAAAAAUUAGGUAGAGAACGGUGCGUUGUGACGGCACAGGCGAAAAACGGAAGAGAAACGCACCUGUGUGACGGCGGGUGGCGGUGGUUGCGGCGGAGGGGCGAGGGUACCGGCGGUGUGAACUGUGAAGCUGCUUACGCUGAAACAAAGCUAGGGAGCUAGUGCUUGAGCUUGAGACAAUGAAGCUUUUUUCCUUUUUCUUUUUUUUCUUUAUGAAAAUGAAAUCUUAUAAAACCAUAUCAAUUUUCCAAUGUUUAAUAUUUAUAGUAAUAAAUUAGUCUUAUAUUAGAAUAAUUAAGGCUAUUUAAAUUAUCGGUUAUAUUUUUUGGCCCUCGUAUGAUAGCUCAAGUGGUAGGAGCUAGGGGGACAUAUGAGUUGGGAUCCAGGGAUCGAUUCCUGCACGAGUGUAAUUUAUCUUUCUGAUGUACCCACUAGACCUCUCUCACCCAAUCCACAUGUCUCAUAUCUUAAGGGUAUUGUUUAGUUUUGUUAUCUAAUAAGAAAUUAUCAUGAGUCUAGUUAUUACUAUAAAUUUGAAUAAGUAUUUUAUCUUUUAAUCAAUUGAUUGUUCGGAAUUCUUUCAAUUUCAACACAAACAACAAAACUUGAAGAGGUUUUAGGUGACCAGAAUGAGGAGCAAGAGAAAAAAGGGGCGUUUCGGUCAAGCUUGUGUUAGCACAGUUUUUUUUUGGGUUAAAUGUGUUCACCGUCCCUGAACUUUGAGCUAGAUCUGGUUUACGUCCCUCGUCGGAAAAUCUUCCUAGCGCCAUCCUCAAACUCAAUUGUUUGUACGGAAACCGUCCUUGCCGUCGAUGAAACUCCGGCCGCCGUGUCCAGGUGUCACUUUGGAGCUGACGUGUAAUUUUUUUUAAAAUAAAAUAAGAAAUAACAUAAUUGAUUUUUAGCUAACCCCAAAUCUUUCCUAAUUUAAUUUCUAAACCUUAAAACUAAAACUAAAACUUUUUUUUUGGGUCCUUUUUAGUUUUUCAUCUAUACUAAAACUAACACUAACAGUAAAUAAAAGAACGGUUAUAAAAAAAAAAAUUAAAUAUGAAAGAAUGUGCUUUGUGAAAAAUCAAAGCACAAAAUCAGAUCUGGGUUUCUCUUUUCUUUCUGUUUUCCUUGUCCAUCAAUGGCAGACUACGACACCCACCACCACCAACAGCGCCUCCAGUGCUGCCACGACGCCACUGUUGGAUCCCCAUCACGCUCCUCUCCCUCGCCCACCUCAUCUUCUACGUCUCAGUCGCACAGACGUUCCGCUCCAUCAACGACGUCAAGGACCAGCGCCACUGCCACAAGCUUACUCUAGGCUUGGCCACCGAGAAGCUCCGGGAGAUGAGGAUGCGCCUCAGCAGCGUUGCCGCCGGUGAUCUGCCACACCUUCAUCCCCCUUUCUCUCCUCUCUCCGGCCACUUCCAUUCCCAUGUUGUUUUGUUGCCACAAAACCCUCUCUCCCUCAUCAAACCCAAACCCGACAAUUAAAGAUCGCACCUUUCCUUCUCCGCCGGCGAAGAAGAACGCAGAACCGGUGGCAGCGCUGGAGAUUCUGGUGCUGGAGAUUGGGGGUUUUAGGGGUUUUGGUGAACAGGUGGAGAUUUAAGGUUUCUGCAGAUCCCCAAUCCCCGACGCCGGAGCGAAGACUCCUCCUCCUCCACUGCAUCUCAUCUUAUAUCACGAAUCUGGGUUUGUAAGCAUUUUUCAGCGAGGAUUCUAGCGUACAGGUUGUGGUUCCCUCUCACCAGAGCUAAGGAAUCUAGUGUCCAGGUUGUAUUCUUAGGACUUUAGUAAUUUUUCAAUUUAAAAUUACCAAACCGUGAUGAAAUUGGGUUUGUCUGUAAAGCCAUUUGAUUGUUAGUAUAACCAUUGUAAUAUCGUUUUAUUCUCUGGUGUGUUCAUGUUUUGAAUUUUUUAUGUAGUUCACUAUCUUCUCACGCUUCAAAUUUUUGGGUUUUUCUUAGAUGGAGGUUCUAGGAAAAAUUGGAGAAGAUGAAGAAGUGAUGAACAUAAUGAAAAACCCAGAAAUCGAACUAAAGGAAGAACCCUAAUUUAUGGGUUGGGUCUGAAGGAGGAAGAUGAUGGAGAGGGUUUUGAUUUAGGGUUAGUUUUAGUUUAGAGUUUAGAAAUUAAAUUAGGAAUGUUCGGGGGGCUUAAUUACAAAUAAAAAUAUUUAGUUUUUUUUAAAUUAACACGUCAUUUCAUUAAAUGACGUGGCAUGGCCACAUAGGACGGUUGGGUACGGUGGCCGGAGGCAAAUCGCCGGCAAGGACGGUUUCCAAACAAAAAAGGUAGUCUGAGGGUGGCGCUAGGAAGAUUUUCCGGCGAGGGACGGAAACCAGAUCUCGUUCAAAGUUCAGGGACGGUGAACACAUUUAACCCUUUUUUUUUUCUAAAAAGAAACACUAGUCAACCAACACCAUUUUGUUCGGUUUUCGCGUGUGUUCCGUUACAACAUUGGUCCACGUGGGACUAAUGAUUUCCAAGACUGGUUCAAUGGAUGAAACUCACUUGAAGAAUUGGUUGAACAUGGGUUUACGUUGGUGCAUCAGCUUCAAUCAGGCAUUAGUGAGUCCUAAUGGUGUUGGUGCAACAAUUUUAAAGUGACUUAAAUAGGUUAAGUCGAAAUGAGUUGUAAGGUCAUUAAUCUCAAGUCAUCCUUCCACACAUAGCACAUUAGCAAAGUUAUUUGACAAAUUAAAGUUACAGAUUUAAAACGUUAUUUUUAUGCGGAGUGACUAAAAUCAAGCUCGCUUACAAAAUUAGAGACUAAUUUAAUCAUUAACCAGUUCAAAUCUGACUAUGACAAAUUGAUUAAUUUUAAUUGGAUGGUUGUGUAAAAUAAUUCACACUAAUUAAUUAACUCAACCCUUUAAAACAAUAAUUAACUCAACACUUAGGUAUGUAAUAACCAAAAUAAAUAUGAAUGUGCAUAUAUAAUAACUAAUACUCACGCAUAUUUGCACCAAUUAUUGAUUAAUUUACUAAAUAAAAUUUAUUAGGGCAUAAUGAUAUUUAAUUAUCCAUAUGACACAUGAUAUUCAAAAUCAAGGGUCUUAAUAUACGCAACGGAAUUCACAAUCACAACUUCGUCCUCAUCUUGAGCACGUCGUCUCCUUUCUCCCACGCACCAACAUUCACGCCUCCAUUGAACUCUCUGUCACGAUAGGUUCAACCUCUGCAAGUUCGACCAAAACGAUAACGAGUCUAGGCUGAGCAUGUUGGAGAGAUCAACGACAAAUCCAAUAUGAACAUACACAGGGCCGCCGUGUAGGGGGCUAGGAAAAGUAGGCAAUUGCCUAAGGCCCCCUAGAAUAUAUAAGGCCUCAAAAAUAUUUUGUAUGUAUAUACUAUAUAAGAUAUAUUAUUGAGACUUGAUAGAGUAAUGAAACAAUAAAAAAUUAUGCAACAUUAAUCGUAACAUGGAUAAUGUAAUGUAAGAACUUAAAAGUUCAACGUAGAAUGUGCAACUUUGGUAUUAUUAGUAGUAUUAUUUUGUAUUGGCAAAUUUACAUUUUUCCGAAAAAUUAAUAAAUAAAAUAGUUGUUGUUUAUACAUUUCGAAAACUAAAAAUAUUAAAUUGUGUCACUCAUAACAUUUAGAUUUUUAAUCACUUAUAUAUAUAUAAUAUAGUAUUAUAUAAGUUUGCUCUAGCUUCACUCGUUAUUUCUUCUCUAAAAAAUGAUUUUUUUUUCAUCACUUUAACAUUUUCGCCUUAGGCCCCAAAAUCUCUCUACACGGCCCUGAACAUACAUUAUGAUGCCACUAAGAUAAGAUUUCACCAUUGUUAGAUCUCAUUGUCAUAGCCCACCCUUAGCUGGGGCAGAGCCGGGCAAUAAUGAAGACAAAGCGGAUAGUGUGGCAGUGAUCAACAACGAUGAGGGUGAGAGGUGAAUCUCACUAUGAAAUUAACACAUUAAUUAAUGAUUAAUUUGAUUGUCAUUAUUAAAAAAAAUCAAAGGUCAAUAUUGUGUAUAGCAAAGCAUGGAGUUUCUUAAAUCUCAACCCCAAAUUUUCAAUCAAAUGACUAUUACUCCUUACCUUUUUUUUUUUUUGAUAAGCACUCCUUACCUUACUCUCCAAGGUGAAUCUCACUAUGGUGACUAGUAUGUCAUGGCUGUUUACACAAGACAUAAUGAUUUACAAAUGAAUUCCCCACUGCAGAUGCCAAGAUAAUGAUGAAAACAACGAAGCAUGUUUAACAACAAAUUCUCAAAUAACCAUCUUCUGUUCCAACCAGAAACAAUCGAGAGAAUGGUAGUAUACUAAUGCUUGAUAAUGCUGACAAGCUUCUCAUUCCAUUAUCAGAAACGUAGAGUUUCUGGGGGAUAAUGUGAUGCUGCCCAUCCUGUGUCAUGGAACCACAUAAUCAUUAUAAAAUCAUCUAUAUGAACAAACAAAGGGGGAAAAUCACAUCAAGCAACAACGAUAUAACUAAAGCAAGAAUGAAUGGAGUUAUUUUGACAACUAAAUUAGGUGCUAGACAAGCUAAAUCAACAGACCCUUCCUAAUUCCUAUCAUCAUCAUGCAAAUAUGAGCCUUAGAGAAAGAGAAGCGUACUGUUUCACUGGCACAUUUAGACAAGGAAAGAAGCCCGAUCCUAUUUCGAGAAAUUGAAAUAACAUCUUGGCCCCAAAUGCAGAAAUUGGAUAUGCCAUCAGAAUGACCUCUGAAAAUAAUGGGCUGCAAUGGCAAAUUCCUGCAAGGAUAAUAAAAAUAAUGUUGUUAAACAAAGCUUAUCACUUUCAUUAGGUUUUUUUUUCAGGAAUAUACUUUCAAAUAAACAAAUGCAUUACACCAAGCAGACUGUGUAUGAAACGUAUAACCACAGAAACAAGGCAAGGGAAGUCCAAAACUGACAUGAGAAUGAAUAAAGAACAAUUUAAUGUUAGUCAAAUAAGAUCUUUUGCUAAUUUUGGUCAUCAUAAAAUUCUUUAUUUCCUGGAGUGAAAUUAUAUACACAUUUUUAUAAUGGAGUUUGGUAAUAACUAGUAGGUGCAUAUGCCAUAAGGGGUGUCAUCCUUCAAACUUCAAUUGACCAUUUGCUUUACCUACUAACAACUUUCAUGUGUCCAAAUAUACAAAUUUUGAUCUCUAAUAGAAGAAGCUUAAAAGAGACAGCUCACAGCUUAGAAUGGUCCAAAACACCUAAGGAAUUUAAGAUUCAUGGGGUCAUAGCUCUUACAUUCUUAAGUCCCAGACUCUUAAAGUUCUGUCCAGAGAGCUGGAAAUGAGCAGAUGCUCGUCAUGUGAUGCCAACUGUAAACAAUGACAUUGUUGAAACUGUUGGAAAAUAUAUCAGUAUUUAUUGUUUUCCAGUCAAUUCUAGAGAUUCUAUUAUUGACUUUUUUAUAUGUAAUAAUUUUCUCCUUAAUUCAAGGAGUAGUAAUUCUCUCCUUAAUUCAAGGAGUAAUAAUUGUAUCCUCUCUAUAAAUACCAGCCUUUGGCUGAGGAAUAAAAUAGAACAGCAUUUACCUAUUAUUUUUCAAUAUGGUAUCAAGAGCCCUAGGUUGGGACUUCUACUGUAGAGCUUUCCACAGCUAGUCUGAUCAACCUAUUUCCUUCCCCGACCCGUUUCACAUACCCAUUUAGCCUCCUAUGGCAGGUCGCAAUAGGUGGCCCUCCAUAGCAGAGGCCUACACCGGAUCCACAGCCAACCACGGCGAACAAUCACUUGACUCGGGCGUCAACAGCGGUGAUGGCGGUGGCAAAGGAGACGGCGGUGGCCGCGGUAAUGGUGGUGGUCGUGGAGAUGGCACACCAAAGUUCGUCACAAACAGUGGCGGUAAUGACGGCAACAAUGAAAACAGAAACAACAGUGUUUAUGGUGACAGUAAUGUCAAUAUAGGUUGCAAUGACCAAGAGGGUUCCUCAUACUCCCUCAAGGUCAAUAUUCCUAAGAUGAAUGGGAAGAACUAUAAUGAAUGGGCCCAAACCGUUCGCUUGGUAUUGGAUAGCAAAGGGAAGCUUGGUUUUUUAACAGGAGCAGUAGCUGAACCAACAAGCGGAGACCCUCGUUACAAACAAUGGAAAUCUGAAAACUCCUUGAUUAUUGCUUGGUUGGUAAGCUCUAUGGAAACUGGAAUAGGUAAGCCUUACAUGUUUUUGCCUUCUGCAAAGGAUGUGUGGGAAGCUGUUAAGGAAACAUACUCUGAUAUUCAAAACUCCUCCCAAAUUUUUGGUUUAAAAUCAAAGUUAUGGCAGGCUAAACAAGGUGACAGGAGUGUAACUGCUUAUUACAAUGAGUUGUUGACCCUGUGGCAAGAAUUAGAUCUCUGUUAUGAUGACAAUUGGAGGUGUACAGAAGAUAGUGUUCUGUUUCUCAAGAGGCAAGAAAAUGAUCGUGUCUUCAUGUUUCUUGCUGGGCUAAAUACAGACCUUGAUGAGGUAAGGGGUCGAGUUUUAGGAAAAAUACCAUUGCCAACUCUUCGUGAAACUUUUGCAGAAAUCAGAAGGGAGGAGGCACGACAAGGAAUUAUGAUGGGCAAGACACCACGAAGUUCUGAAUCUGAAGGCUCUGCUCUGGCUACUAGGAACCUCGGCGAGGGAAAAAGGUCAGAAAAAGUUCCUUGGUGCGAUCACUGCAAGCGCGAAUGGCACACACGUGAAAAUUGUUGGAAGCUCAUAGGAAAACCUCCUAGCUGGAAGAAGAAAGGUCGUCGUGCAUUUCAAGCAAGUAAUUCUGAUCAAGGGCAGCAAUCCUCUUCGACUCAGCUUCCGCUCACUACGGAACAACUAGACAAACUGCUCAAACUCCUCGAGUCUUCAACCCCUUCUUGCUCUAUAGCAACAAAAGGUAAUUCUGCAUGUCUUAGUGUCAGUCCCAGUCAUACUUGGAUAUUAGAUUCAGGUGCCUCGGAUCACAUGACAAGUGAAUCCACCUUGUUUUCUUCAUAUAGUCCAUGUGCAGGUAAUCAAAAAAUAAAAAUUGCAGAUGGCUCUUUUUCAGCCAUUGCAGGUAAAGGGUCAGUUGUGUUGUCUCCAGUGUUAACUCUUAACGAUGUCCUUCAUGUUCCAAACUUAUCCUGUAAUUUAAUGUCUGUUAGUAAAUUAACCCGAGAUAUAAAUUGUCAAACCAAUUUUUUCCGUUCUCACUGUGUCUUUCAGGAUUUGAACUCGGGGAAGAUGAUUGGCAGUGCUAAGGAGAGUGGAGGACUCUACUACCUUGACAUUGGAUCUGCAUCACAACUACCUCCAAAAACAAUAAGUUCCUGCUUUGAAUCCUUUUUUGUUUUGAAUAAUAAUGAUGACAACGUUAUGUUAUGGCAUUUACGAUUAGGUCAUCCUAGUUUUCAUUACUUAAAACACUUGUUUCCUAAGUUAUUUUAUAAUAAGAACCUUUCUUUGCUUAAAUGUGAAGCAUGUGAGUUUGCAAAGCAUCAUCGUUCCCAAUUUCCAAUACAGCCAUAUAAACCAUCAAAACCUUUUUCUAUUGUUCACAGUGAUGUUUGGGGCCCUAACCGUACAAGUACACUUUCUCUUAAAAAAUGGUUCAUCACAUUUAUAGAUGACCAUUCAAGAGUAUGUUGGGUGUACUUGUUAAAGGGGAAAUCAGAUGUUUGUCGGGCUGUAAAGGAUUUUUGUACAAUGGUGCAGAACCAAUAUCAAACAAAUAUUCAAGUCUUUAGAAGUGAUAAUGGCAAAGAAUAUUUUAACACUAUUUUGGAUGAUUUUUUCCUAAAAAAUGGGAUUGUACAUCAAAGUUCAUGUCCUAAUACUCCUCAACAAAAUGGAGUUGCUGAAAGAAAAAAUAGACAUUUAUUGGAGGUUGCUAGAGCAUUACUUUUCUCAAGUAAAGUACCAAACUAUUUGUGGGGCGAAGCUGUUUUAACAGCGGCAUAUUUAAUUAAUAGAAUGCCCUCCAAAGUUCUCAAUUUCCAAACUCCAAUUAAUACUUUCAAAGAAUGUUUUCCUAGUACUCGUGUUUCAACUGAUUUGACAUUAAAAAUCUUUGGUUGCAUAGCCUUUGUUCAUGAACAUAAAAAUGUUGGAAAACUUGAACCACGUGCUAUAAAAUGUGUUUUUGUUGGAUACUCCCCAACCCAAAAGGGGUAUAAAUGUUUUGAUCCAAAAAACAAGAAAAUGUUUGUCACUAUGGACGUUACGUUUUUUGAAAAUAAACCUUUUUUUAAUGACACUCAUCUUCAAGGGGGGGAUAUAAAGGAAGACUCGUUUCAAAUUGAGGACAUGAGUUUUUUAAAUAAAUUAUCUUUGCCUGUACCACAAAGCUCUAAGACUUAUAGUUCUGCACCAACAGAAAAUGGCCAAGAUACUCUAUCUGAUCCUACUCCUGUUAUGAGUAAGGAACUUGAGGAAUCAGAGCCUACAUUUUCUCAUGAAGAAACCAAUGAGAAUCUUGACAAUAGGGAUGAUGAUGAUCUAAUUAAAAUGCCACAAAAUAAUGAGUCACUUAAAGAGAACAGAUUUGAAGUAGGAAACAGGACUUGGAAAGGGAAGGUUUAUGUGAAAAAGCACCACAAAGAAAGGAAUGAGUCCACAUCUCAACACUGUCAGGAAUCUGAACCGGGGAAUGAUCAACCUCCUAAGAAAAUGAAAGGUAAGUCUAUCUCUGUUUCUGAGAGUCGUAUUUUGUAUCCUGAUAUAGAUGAUCCUGUUGCCAUUAGAAAACCUGUUAGAUCUUGCACUAAACACCCUAUUUCCAAUUUUAUAUCAUAUUCAAAUUUGUCUUCAUCUCUGUCUGCCUUCACCUCAAAAUUGUCUAGUGUAGAAAUUCCAAAAAAUGUCCAGGUUGCUCUAGAAAUUCCAAAGUGGAGGGAAGCUGUACUUGAGGAGAUGACAGCUCUUGAAAAGAACAAAACUUGGAGUGUUAUGACACUACCAGAUGGCAAGAAGACAGUUGGAUGCAAAUGGGUGUUUACUGUGAAGUAUAAUUCAGAUGGGUCAAUUGAAAGGUACAAGGCUCGCUUGGUGGCGAAGGGCUUUUCUCAGACCUAUGGUAUAGACUACUCAGAGACAUUUGCUCCUGUUGCAAAAUUGAACACUGUCCGAAUUCUCUUAUCUCUUGCUGCCAACCUGGAUUGGCCCCUACAUCAAUUGGAUGUUAAGAAUGCGUUUCUUAAUGGUGAUCUAGAAGAAGAAGUAUAUAUGGAGAUUCCUCCUGGCUUUGAAAGCAAAUUUGGAUCAAAUGUAUGCAAACUAAAUAGGUCUUUGUAUGGAUUAAAGCAGUCCCCUAGAGCUUGGUUUGAAAAAUUCACUCAGUCCAUGAAGAAACAAGGGUACACUCAAGGACAGGCUGACCACACCUUAUUCACAAAAUUCUCCCAUGAUGGGAAAGUUGCUGCCCUGAUUGUUUAUGUUGAUGAUAUUGUCCUUACUGGAGAUGAUACAGUUGAAAUGGCAAGAGUAAAAGAGAAAUUAGCAGUAGACUUUGAAAUCAAGGACUUAGGACCCAUGAGAUAUUUUCUUGGAAUGGAGGUUGCUCGAUCAAAGAAUGGUAUUGUGGUUUCACAGCAGAAAUACAUUCUAGACUUAUUGAAAGAAACAGGAAUGAGUGGAUGUCGUCCAGCAGAUACCCCUAUGGAUCCUAAUGCUAAACUUUGGGAAGAAGGUAGUGUUCCCGUUGAUACUGGAAGAUACCAAAGAUUGGUUGGGAAACUGAUUUAUUUGUCACACACUCGACCUGAUAUUGCUUUCUCAGUUAGUGCAGUGAGUCAGUUCAUGCAUUCUCCUUUUGAGGAACAUCUUGAGGCAGUCUAUAGGAUACUGAGAUAUUUGAAGGGAAAUCCCGGAAAAGGCUUAUUUUUUAAGAAGACUAGUGAAAGAAAUGUGUCUAUCUUCACCGAUGCUGAUUGGGCAGGCUCAGUCACAGAUAGAAGAUCAACCUCUGGAUAUUGUACCUAUGUUUGGGGUAAUCUUGUGACAUGGAGGAGCAAGAAACAAGGAGUUGUGGCAAGAAGUAGUGCAGAAGCUGAGUUUAGAGCUAUGGCUCAAGGUAUUUGUGAAGGAUUAUGGAUUCAUAGAGUCCUAGAAGAACUUAAGAUGAAAAUUGAGCUUCCAUUGAAAUUAUACUCCGACAGUAAAGCUGCUAUUAGCAUAGCUCAUAACCCAGUUCAACAUGACAGAACCAAGCAUAUUGAGAUUGAUCGACAUUUCAUAAAGGAGAAGUUAGAUGCUGGAAUCAUAUGUCUACCUUUUGUGACUUCGAGUCAGCAAACUGCGGAUAUCCUGACCAAGAGCUUGGCAAGACCUACCUUUGAGCAUUUGAUAGGCAAGUUGGGCAUGAUAGAUAUCUAUGCACCAACUUGAGGGGGGGUGUUGGAAAAUAUAUCAGUAUUUAUUGUUUUCCAGUCAAUUCUAGAGAUUCUAUUAUUGACUUUUUUAUAUGUAAUAAUUUUCUCCUUAAUUCAAGGAGUAGUAAUUCUCUCCUUAAUUCAAGGAGUAAUAAUUGUAUCCUCUCUAUAAAUACCAGCCUUUGGCUGAGGAAUAAAAUAGAACAGCAUUUACCUAUUAUUUUUCAAUAGAAACCGUGGGUAAAAUCAAAUUGGGUAGUCCCAAAUAUUUUGAAUAUAACUCACAUACCUUUGUUACAUAUCCAUCAUGAGCUCGCCAAGAGGCAAUGACAUUUCCACUCUUAGCAUCAAAUAAUUUACAGUGACCAGAACUUAGUCCAGUUGCAAUCAAAGAUGACAAAGUGGGAAUACCACCUGCUUGCAUUUUGUUAGAACCCGAGGAACAAAUGGCAGAAAUAAGUGAAGGAAAACUAGAAUCAUUAGAUUCCCCCCUCCAAAUAUGAAGCUUUUGACCUCGAGCAACAUCAAUAAACCUGCACAGUACAGAAAAAAAUCAUGAGUUGGAAGGCGUCAACGUAUUUCCUAACGUGCAUCGAAUUGAUAUAGUAGCUAAAACAGAGAGUCAAUUUCACCUGAGAGAACCAUUUCCAGUGCCGACUACAAGAGUUUCAGCAGAGUCUAAUAGAUACAUACAAGUAUAAAGGCUUGAGUCAAAAGCACUAGACAAUAUUCCACUUGAUAGUGUAUUCAAAUUAAGGACAUUUGCCUGGUCACUGUUAAUUUUUGGCACAGAGGGUUGAUGGUUUGUAGGAUAGCCAGAUUCUGUUUGGGACUCGGCAAAAACUGAUAUUUGCUUCCCUGUUUGACUAUUCCAAAUAUGAAUUGUUCCAUCACAAGAUGCCACUCUUCCACUAGAAGAUAAGAUGCAAAUAUCGUUUACCACCUAAAAUUUGCAUGAGUAAUGAGUGAUUUGUAGCAAAUGCUGUUACAGUAGAAAAAUAAUAUCUAAAAGCCCAAAGAAGCUAAAAAAAUUUCAAACACACCUUAACUCAUGAAUAACUGUUACAAUUUGUAUACUAAUAAAUAUGUUGUUGCACUAAACAUCCAUUCACAUCACAUCCCCUUUUGUUUUAAAUCAUCAUCCAUUAUGCAUAUGGAUCACCUAGCAGUGCUAGGUGAUGCUUAAUGGAUGAUGACUAGCAGUUUGCUGAUUGAUGCCAUAGUUGAAACUUCAUAGUACUUAGUAGUUCUUUACUAUAGGAAUAUAUAAAUACUACAUGGAUUUACAUCAAGCAAACAAUGGUCGAAGAGUGUCAUUUUAACUGAAUGUAAAAGCAAACCUCCUCAUGGCCAUAAUAGCCUGACAGACAGUUAGUUCGGCUUAAUUCCCACUUCUGAACAGUGCCUUUAUAUCCUUGGCCAAUUCCUGCAGUAAAAACUAUACAUUCAUCCUGAUCAACAGCCAGAGACCUCACUGCUCCAUGAUGUGCCCGUAUAGAGUGAAGUACAGAUGCUCUAAUCUUCCAUGGAAGGUCUUCUUUCUGAACCCCAACCCGCCCAAGAAAUUCAGGCCCAUCCCAGAUGGUGGAUGGACUAGGGAACCAAAACCAGGGUUCAAGGUUCACUUGGCAUGACAUUCCUUCAUGCAUUACUACUGGGCUCUGCUGAACUUUGAAUGACCGUCUCUGAGGAUUCAAAUUUUUGGCACUUUUACUACCUUGGGAUUGUGGAAUUGACCAUCCAACACCAUUAAGCAACAGCUUUGCUGGAUUGUAUUCAGAUGUGAAUCCCCGGGAAAUCGCAUGUCUUCUGGCAAUAAAAUUUUCUGAGCCAUUUUUUGAUGAUUCUCCUGCAUAUUCCCACUGAACCACAACAGGCUUAGAAAUGAGCAAACGAGGCCAUGUGACAGAAAUUAUUGCACCAACAAAAACACAAUUUUCCACUUACAUGAGGGGGGGCAAGAAGGAAACAAAGGUAAACGUAGCAUACCUUCCAAUUAUGAUGGCGUAGAAGAAAUUGUUCAAGAAGCAACCAUGUAGUACAACAUUGACGAAGUUUCUCUAUCCCAAGAAGAGAUGCAAAGGAAGGAUAGAGAAGCAACCUGCAUAUGACCAGAAAAUUUUAUUUAUACUGUGAAUAAUAAAGGAAGAAUGUAAGACAAUAAAGCAGACACAAUAUAAAAUACAACAAACUUGAAAGUGAGCCACAACCAUUUACAGCACCUAACAUAAUGUACCCAAAAAAACUAACUCUCACGGUUUCAGGUGAAUGUGCAUACUUUUUGGGUUAAAAGAAGACCAGACACAUGAAAUGUCAUGGGUUUGGGUUUCCUAUUCUGAGCUCAAAUCAUAAUUGGAGAAGAUCAUUGAUCUUUCAAAUUUUUCUAUCAAUAAAUCAAGUGUUUCAAAUAUGCUUCUCAAAUUAUGAAAGUUGAGCAUUCCUAAAUCCCUCUAUCCCUAUAUGUCUAACAAUUAGAGGUGCAAUAUUGUCUAUGUCUAUUUGUUCUAGCAUUUUUUGUGGGGCAAAUCUACAUAUCAUAUGUGUGAUUACAUGCCUUUCACUAUAAAAAGGUAUAGUACAACUAUUUUCAGAUUUAACAUCAACCACUCCUAAGAAUAAAAAGAAAUUCAUUUCUGCUUAUCCUUGCAUGAUUUCAUUUUUAUCCACUUCUCUUACUUACUACUCUCCACUCUCCUUACCUAGAGCUUUUCUAGUCUUGCAUUAAAUACCCAUGAGAGGAGUUUCUCCCUGCAUAAACCUAGUCUAGAAAGCAGAUUUGUCACUCACACUAGGUCCAUACGACUUUCAAUUUGCAAGUCCCCUCCAAAUUUUAAUUUGGUAACCUUCAAGUUUCUGCCAACAGUAGUCGAACCUUUAGAAAUUUCCUGGGAGAAAGCAAGUUCAUCAAAUAAUUCUUUAAGCUUUGGAAGAAUAUGCAAUGCUGUCAAAUCUGCCCCAAUCCGCUGACAAAUUCCAAAGAGAGUAGUAGCAGCAACCUGACAAAGAGAAGGCGACUGCCAUUAUUUAACAAUUUAAGUGACUAUGGCAAGAUGCAUUGUGGCAAAGAAAUGGAUCAGACAUCUCCAGAGUAUCAGGAUACUAGCCAAAAGGAAACUUUGAUCUAUAAAGUUUGAAAUAUAACUUCUAACUUUGAAGGAUUGCAUACAAACAAUUUGGAAGAAGUGCCAGAGUGUGUCAAUCUGUUUUAGGUACAAAUACAAUGCUUGGUUUCAAAAACCCACGAGUCAAGGCACAGACCUUAAUCUUCAUUUCACCAUAACUCUUCAUUUGACAUUCUAAUUUAAGAAGGCAUAAAAAUAUUCAUGUAAAACUGUAUAUUCCUUUGCGACUUGUGAUUAAAAAGUAAAAAGUCCUCCCUAAAGAGUAAAGCUGAGAUGCCAAUUAGAGCCAAUGAAACCAAGGAAUGGACGAUGGAGCCAAAACAAACCAAUGAAUAAUUUGAAGAACCUGAAGCACUGCAAUUUCCAUAUGUUUCUGCAUGAGAAUCCCAAUAUGUAUGCAACUUACGUCCUGUAUAUUUACAACACAUUAAAAAAUUAAUUGUAAUACAAUACUUACUGGCAAUUAAAGCAUUUUGAAGCCAAAAAAGAAUAAGAACAUACUGCUAGCAGCUCUUUUACAAUGACCUCUUCUGUCAAGAAAGCUGCAAGGCCAUCCAAAGUGAUCAUACAAUCAAUAAGUGCUAAAGCACUCCAACUCUGAACAGGAUCAGGCUUAUUCAUGCAUGACACAUCAGUGAAGGAACGAACAACAUUUUUCAGCAAUGGUAGCAUCUGUUUAACAAUAAAGGAUUCCCCAAAUAUACCACCUGAAAAGUCAAAAGAGGAAAGGGGAUUAAAACUGAAGGCCUCAAACGCGAAACAUGGAAAAAUACAAAAGUCAAUAAAACAAGAAUACCAAUUCUGACUAGCACAUCAAGGCCAUCUGAACACAGUCCUUUCCCAAAGCAGUGAACAAGGGGCAAGAUGGUCUGGUUCAAGAAGAAAAAGGUCAGUAAAACAAUAAUGGUUGAACCUAAGUGGGAGUGCAUGCAUGUGGAAAAAGGAAAACAUAGUGCUGAGGUUGUUGCAAAACAUGAAAACCUGAUGAAUGGUAAUCGGAACACCAAUCUCUUCACUAGAACCGAUUAGAAGCACUGAAGCAGAGGCAGCUGAACUUUUAUCUGGAUAAAUAUACAAAUUUGACAAGACCAACGGGUGAACAGUUGCCAGGUAUGCCUGUUUACCAACUCGAUUCCAUAUUUCCCGUACAAAUGAAUCUUGUAAAAGGGAAACCUUUAAAUGCAAACAACCUGCUGUCUGUAAAAAGAUGUCUCAAUAAGAAGUCAAAGAAUUAAAAAAUAUGUAAAAAGAAAAAAGAAAGAAAAGAUCUUUACAGACUAAAUAAAUUCACACAAUGAAGUUCACAACUAGCCUGUAAAAUUUUCUGUACGGUUGGCAAUAUUAAUGUUUUUACUGCUUGUGCUGUUAAGCAUUUCAUUAGUUCCUCCAGUAGUAUAUAUGCCCAUUCAGCUUCGGUAUCAUUAACAGCGGUCACUAUAAGUGGUAAGCAAUAAGUAGCACACAUUUCAGUUGCAAAUGCACCCAUUUCUCUGAGAGCCCCCUGCUUUGCAAGAUUUGCAGCAUAACGGAGCCGAGUUUCAUCUUUAGAUACAAGCUGAAGUGGGGCAAGAAACAAGUAGGAGGACUUGACUGUCUUUGGGAAAUAAGGGGAUUCAAGAAGAAUUUUGGCUGAUGGCCUCCUAUAUAGCAAAAAUUAAUACUUCAACAAUAUGAUAGAAGAAACAACCCACAAAUCAUAACUAACAAGGACGGUAGACACAUGCAUUCAGUUGCACAUAGGCACGCACACACUGAUACCUCGUCCAAUCCUUUUGGAUGCAUGCUUCAACAAGUAAUCUAACAUGAGGAGGCAGUUCCUGUAGAAAUCCUGGUAAGGCUCCAUCCUCCAAGUACAUUGCCAAUGAAAUUGAAUCGAAGAGGGGCCUGCAAAGAUGAAGCUCAGCUAAGAGACAACCAACAGAAAAUAUGUCCCUAGCAACAUCUUCAGAGUCAAGUCUUGAAGAAGAUAAUUUCUGCCUCCAAAGCAGAAAGUCUGGAUAUCCUGAGGAGCCUUCAUCUUCCUCUUUCAUGUGUUGAAGAAAGGAGAUCAGAUUCAUUUUAUAUGGAACCCAAUAAUUUCUGUUUACCAAAGAUAGUUCACUUAUGUUUUUACUAAAUGUCUCUGGUGCUGGAUCUCCCAAAGAUGAGAUGUUCUUCCCUUUAAUAUGAUUUAGUGGAUAACGAUAACAAGCAUUCAAAUGCCUAGCAUGUUCUGAAAAUGCAGAUGCUUGCUCUAGUUCUUGUAGAUAAGCAGUUUCAGAUAGAAGAGAUGUCUCUCGCUGCAUUUCAUGUGCUUCACUCCAAACUUUGGCAUAUUUGUUGGAACCAUGACGUGUUAUUCUAGAAGUAGCGUGACGAAUGGGGUGCGGUUGUGUAAAGAGCUGACGACGUCCAGUAGAUCUUGGCAUUGUGGGUUCCGAUAAAGGAAGCAUAACAUUCUUAGCAAUAACUGCUGCGUGGCCAGACAUUUUGUACCCAAAGAUUAUAUCUAUCCAAUGGUGUAGUUGAAAUGACACCCUAUCACUUUCUAAUGCGUCACGGUGCAAUUUAAUGAAAUCCUCGGGACUCUCUGCCCAAGAAGGUACAGCCAAAUCAGCCAUACCAUCAUGUAUUGACCUAAAAAUUAGGGCAUCACAGUAAAACUCCGGAAUGCAUUCAUCAGGGGUCCAUUGAUAAAGCCUUUGCAUUGUGGAAGGAUAUUCAUUAGGUUCAUACACUGAACGAACAGCCAUUCGAAGAACGCUCAAAGGCAGCCUUCUUGCUUUAUAACUGCAGACAGCCAAUUCAGACAGACAUUCAUCUGAUACAUGAUGAGGGAUUUCAGAUGUUGAAUAGGUGAAAUCCAACUGUUCAUCACCUUUUGCCAGGCGCCAUUUGCUCUUGUUUAAGUCCCGCCAUCCUGCAUCACAAUUAUCAUCAGGCUUGGAGCUAAAAUCAAUUACCCAAGGCAUUACAGGAUGAAAUGUAUGGUCACCCCACCUUCUUCCUGCUAGUCUGUUUAAGAUAAGUAAAUACUCGAAAUUACUUAGUUCCCCUCUCCACCACUGAUGAAAGCUACAAUUCCAAUCUAUCGAUGGAGAAAGCUUCAGAUCAGCAUAAAGAUCAUUAGAAUGACAGCCACCAUUACAGCAACCGGUUUUUGCAGGUUUAGAAUCAACCCUUUCACUCUUUUGCGAAGUUAAACUUGAUUCCAACACAGGUUCAUUCCACAAUCUCAGCCAAGACCACAACGAGUCCGUCAACAAGAUAUUGGAAGGGCAUAUAUUACCAUGCGAAACCCCUAGACCGUGCAAGUACAAUAAGGCUGAGAGUAGCUGAUAUAUAAGAAAUCUUCUAUUCCAAUCAGAUUUCAACGCACCGGGGUUAAAAUGAAGAAUACUUUCCAAGUUGUAUGGAGUCUUUGGAAGCAUCAUGUUAAUGUAAUCAGAUGUUUUCAAAAUUCCAAGAACAGGAGCUAUGUUUGGAUGCCUCAAAGAGCCUGGAAAAGUAUCUUUCUCAAAUGAAGGCAGCCCAAGUAACCUAAGAAAAUUUACACAGUCCCGUCCAGACGCUUUCCCUGCAAUGAAGAGAUCAAGCGACUCUAACACAUGAUCUUCGCUUAAACCGGACAAGAAAUCAGCGGCAACCUCUUGAAACGUAGAAUACGAAGACAUUCCGACCCGAGCAAUGGGGGCAAGUGAGGUGAUUGUCCUGGAGCAAGAAAACCUUCCAGAAUGAUUACACGACGUGUUUCCGGAAGUAGCAUUUCCAGUUUCAGAAGCAACAGAUAUAGCAAUUCCACCAUUAAUCUCAUCAUUAUAUUGAUUGCCUCCAAUAUCAUGAUCAUUACUCCUAGUGCUUUCACUACUACUAUCCAAAAUAUAUUCAUUUCUGCAAACCCACCAAUAACUAAAUCAUCAAUCAUUUUGUUACAAGAAUGCAUACAACAUCAAAACAUUUCAUAUAACAAUCCACAAAAACAUCAUUAAAUUGAAUCUUACACAUAAUUGACAAAACAAUUCUUGUCGUGACCGGGCAUGUACUGCAAGAUGAAUUGACUGCCCGAUGCUUCAGUACCAGAAACCUGUUUUGGAAGAAACAGAAAAAGCAAGUUAGAAAAUGGAUUAAGAUAACAAAAAAUGAUCAGAAAAUUCAAAGAGAGGAUGAGAGAUUGACAUGAACGAUAGCUGAGGAGCCGAAAGGAAAAGCAGAAGUGGAGAUGGCAUAGUUGAAGACGAGUUGGUCAGAGAAAUCCGAGUUGAUUCGACGUUGGAGGCAGUCGAAGCAGUGAUUCUGUUCCUCCAUGGAAUCGCUCGCUCUGCUGAGUCGAGUCAACUCAGCGAUUCCUCAUGCUUUGCUGCCUGUGCUUCUUCUCCAACUGCAACAGUUGCUUAAACGCAGCGUUUUGUUGUUAAUCGUGGAACUCUGUUGUUAUAUUUGUUGAUUGAAUUUGAGAUUAGGAGUAUGAUUUUAAUCACGGAUCUAACUGAAAGCUUCUUACUUACCCCUUUCCCCAAGACCCCAACCCAAGACUGGUAGGUGGUGUGCACUGGUGCUUAGAUUAGCUAGAUGGAAGUGGUUCUAUUUGAAACGAAAAAUAAACAAAAUGUUUUGCUUCGUCUCAGGGUAGAAUCUUAAUUGUCACUCCAAUAUUCUCAUUUAAAUACAACUUAUUUCAUUUGCUUCGAUACACAACGCUACGGUUGGUUGGACAUCCCGCUAUUAGACAUUUCAUUAUUGUGGUGGUAUUUUACCGCCAAUUCAUGACAGUAAAAACCUGUCACAAAAGUCGAUUUAUUGUCACAAAAGUGAAUCAUCUACAACAAUAAUCGAUAUUUUAUUGCAAUAUAUACGACGAAGUGAGAUAUAUUCGACUAGUGUAGUGACAUCCAUAUUAUGCGGAGUGAUUUUUUAUAUUCUUGACAUGAUUAAAAUUGUGUGAAUAAUAUACUUUGGUAACGGUUCGUCAAGGUCGAUCCAGUCUAAGCCAAAUGUAUUUUGAUUCGGUGUAUACACUUAGGCAUUCCAACGACCUAAGUUAUUCUUCAACAUGCCAAUUAGCGAGGUUGAAACUAGGUUGAGCAGAAGUGCAUGUUUGGAGUUCAUUUUUAGGUUGUUCUUAUACUAUGCUGAUUAAAAUUGAGCUGAUCAGGAGUUAGAACAUGCUAAUAAUAGUGUUGCUGCGACAUGGCUUAAUUUAAUUUCUGUCAUAGUACACUGAACUUCAAACUAAGGAAAUUAAAAAUCCUGUUGGGUAUAAAAACAUGAGUAAUGUGUCCGUUGAAAAGAAAAGGAAUAUAUUGUUGCACAUCUGUUGCUAAAGAAAGAAAGCAUAACGUUAAUCAUCAGGAGACUCUAAGUCUCAAACACGGUUGUAGGCCACUGACUUGCUGAAAAGGCGCCUAAUGUAUAUGACUUGCAGUGUGCUAACAGCAGCCAACAAAAGGUACUCUCCGACAGUGUAGAAUAUGACUCGCGAGCGUGUGCUCUCAUUUGCUACAAACAAAAAAGGGAGUUUGAGUCAGUACAAGGUGGAUAAUGAAAGAAGAAGGAAUGCAGACGAGGAUAAUAUAUCUUUCAUUCUUGAUUCAGGAAAAUACUAUCAUGAGGAUAUUAAGAAACAGAUCUAAAAUGCUGUACAUAAUGACCAGAUAUCAUGAGACUGACAGUUCCUAGAUGCAGAAACUAGGAACAUUCUUAGCCAACAACAAGCGGUACAAACAAACUAGUUCUUAUAUGUCUAAAAAGUUAAUGGAUGGAUGAUGGAUCUCUGCUACACUAGGCCUGGGAGUGGAAAAGCUUUGGGUGAGAUCACGAUCACGUGAGAAACUGUCCCUUUCUUUUCACUACUUUCUCUCGAAAUCCAAGUUCUUAAAAGAAUUGGUGCUGAGCAUGAGUAAUUCUGUUAUCAAAAUUCCCACUCCCCACCUGAUAUCCAUGACUCUGUCCGGCAUUGCGUUUAGAUGCUCAGAAGAGGUUAAUUUUAGCCUCCCGGUUCUUAAAAAGUUUGUGACAAUAAAUUGCAUUUUAUAUAAAUGCAUAUAUGAUUCAAAGAAAAAUAUCAUGACUACCACAAUCAAAUUUCCCAAGGUAGAACAGUGGCAGUUCAUGGAAAAGGAGACUACUUACUAUGGCGAUGCCUAGUAUCACGAGCUUUCAAGUACUUUUGUUCAGCUGUAACAGACUCUAGUGCCUCCCUGAGCUCAGCAAUUUUAACAUUAAUUGGGUCCAGAUGCUCUGCAAGUGCAAACCAUCAAAAUUAGGGAAACUCCCAAAAACCAAACAAUAGAAGGAACAAAAACACUUAGAUUGCUCUUCACAAAUGUCAAGAAUACCUCAGGUAAAUGGUAAACGACUAUACUAUUUAAUACUAUAAAUAUGUUAAUUGUAGAAUCUACUAAGGAUGCUUUCCCAGAGAACAUACCAUCUUUGGCAAGGUUAUGCUCAUUGGGAAUAUGACCAACAUGGAUGUAGAAGGAAACAGUCUCAGGUGUCGAGUAUGGGUUAUGAAAACAAAAUUUGUACAUCCCAGAAGCUGGGGCUUUAAAUUGAAACUUGUCGCCAGAGGUUCCCUUGAUGUCGUGGACAGUAUUACCUGCAGGAGAUGUCACCUGCAUAUAACCCAAAAAUUAGGAUAUCUGAAAAGCUAAAGAUAGAAAACAAUAUGCAAAUUUGGGCUGCUCAAUCAGACAAAGAAUUCAUACAAACAGUAACCAAAGAUGGCUCCUAAUGCACUUCCUAUUAUACUAGUUAGCACACAUAAAUUUCUUUACACAAAACCACUAUGGAUUCAUACAAACAGUAACCAAAGAUGGCUCCCAAUGUACUUCCUAUGAUAUUACUAGUUAGCACAAUAUAAUUUUUUACACAACCCUAAGUCCCCAAAAUAAAAUACAUCACCAAGCAUCAGCUAAUAUCCAUGCAAAACAAGAAAGAACCAACAACCAAGGACUCACCAAUGAUCAUUCAUCACACAAAUGAUACUGAUCACUAAAACAUUUAAACACAAUAUAUGCAGAAUUUGAGGCAUCCAACACAUUUUGGUAAUCCCCAUCCAUAAUUCAGCUUAAGGAAGAUGCAACCAAGUCAUGUAAGAGACACAUCAAUAGCUUCCUACAGCUUAACCAAGUCCAUCCCCUUUUGUUAAAUGAACAAUUUUCAUGUUUGAUUAUAGCUACACAUAGAUCAUAUUCAACCCUAGUAACACCAAUCCUCCUCAAAAACCCUAAUAUAACCUACCCCAACUAAAAACCCUAAAUUCAACUCCAUAACAAAAAUCCAAUAGUUGUUACUAUACAACAAAUCAUCAGUGUGAGUAAUCCAAUAAAACAAAAUUCAAAUUGAAUGACAGGGAAUUGGGUUUGCGUUGCACUCACCGUGAGAUCAAUGCCGGGGUGAUCGGAGCCCCAGAAAAUGUCAUGGUCAACAACAACGAAGUUCCCGGAAACGGUGUCACCCUCAUAGAGCACAUACUCGUAGAUGCACUCAACCUCGUGCACAGUGACAGAGAGCGAUUCAAUGCGAGCAACGAAGCUCAGCAUCAAACACAUCAAAACCAUCCACAUCUUGUUCGCAAUUCUCUUUCCCUCCAUCAUUUAUUUACCCUGUGGAAUCAAAAUUGUGGUUCUCAGAUCUCAGAAGAUUGCAAGUUUGAGAAAAUUGUGAUCCGUUUUGGUCUGUGCGGUGAAGGUGCGGCGAUGAAGCAAAACGGCACCACUGUUGGCGUCGUGGACUUGAGAUGAUGAAGGUGGUAUAUGAAUGAGGGUGUAUGAUGGAGGCGUCGUUUUUGGUGACGUGUGACGUGCACUAGCCAAUCAGAGAAGACUGUAGGUGACAGGUCACACACACACUGUAACUUAACAAAUAUGGAAUUUAUUUUGACAAAUUUUUUAAUAAAAAAUAAUGAUAUUUAUAAUUUGUAAAGUUCUGUUUUUUGAAAAAGAAUUUGUAAAGUUAAUUCCUACGGUAUUUGACUUUCUAGGAGUUACAAUGAUUUUGUAAGUAAGACCUUGAGAAGAUCAAGUAAACAUAUCCCGACACACUUCCCACCUAAAUCAUCAUCAACACACUCCUCCAAGCUUAGAAGGCAACCCUGGGAAAAAGUAGAGGCAAAAGGCUUAUUCACCAUUCAUCAACUGACUGAAAUGACAACAUUUUCAGGUCAUCUAAGGGUCGAUCUCAACACACGUCGAACCUUUGACUACAUAAGGAACCAAAAGAAAAGCGGGUAAGUAAGAUUUAGCCAUUAACCCAAAUUCUCUUCACUAUUAUUAGUUACUUGGUCACUAGAGUAUCUUCACAUGUACACCUCAAAGGGCUCGAGGCGCUAGCUAGCCCAAUGAGAAUAAUUAAGUUCAUGAAGACAAGUGCUGAAGCAUUUACGUGUUCCUGAUAUUAUACACUCAUUUGAGUAACUGAUUAUUUGUUCGAUCAAUUACUUAAUUCAAAAGUUAAAGUAAUAUUAAAAUUUGUUCCUAAAUGAUAGCUCAAGUGUUCAGAGUUAGAGACAUAUGAGUUGAGGAUGAGAAAGUCCAGAAUCAAUCAUGAAGAAUGCAACAGUGUUGUUAGUAUACAAAGCGGACAAUUUCACUUUAACUAUUUAUUUAUCAGUUUUUUUUAAUGAAAUGGUGUUAGGAUACAAAGUGGACACUUAGGCUUAGUUCUUUUUCUUAUUACUAUUACAAUAGUCACCUUUCUCUUUCAAGUUUUCUUCACCAACAUUGGAUCGCAAGCAACAGCAAAGGUCAACAGCGUUGAAAAAUGGAGAAGAUUCAGAUACAAGUCCCACGAGUCAAACUGGGUAGCCAAGGCUUGGAGGUAAAAUUUCUGGAUAAUUUCUCCUUCCUAUAUGGACAUUUUUCAUUCUCCUCAUUAACCACUUUGUUCAUCAUCCAAAGUUGUUGUUUACAAUGGACUGAUUCUUAAUUCAGCAUCAGGAGGGAGAAUACAUUAAACCAUUUUUCCAUUUUCAUCAAAUGCCUGUUAUUGUCAAUCUCUGCAGUUUAAGAAAAGAUCCUUGUUUUCAUGAUCACCAACUCAGGAAUUAUUUUACCCAAAAAGUUGGCAUGAUUCUAUUUUAAUCACCCAUAAUAGGACUUUGUUCUCCAAAUUUCAACUCCACCCCAAGGAAUCUUCAAUCUGGUGGAGUCUUAGCCUGCAUUUAGUGCAUGCUGAUACUUGUAGAAUAAAUGUCUUUUACUUUUACAAUUUGGAUUUUGUUUUCAAGCAGUAGAGAAUGGUAAUUUUGACCUGUUUUGUAUAUCAGACUAUUUUAGAUUCACAGGUUAGAGCCUGAGUAUGAUGAUAGUGGUAGUGUAUACGUCUCUAACUCAAGUAUGCUUGGGUAAACAACUUAAUUAACCGCUUAUUCAUAAGCUAAUUUGAGAAACUUAUUGAAAUAAGAAAUAAGUUAUAGACUUAUGGUAAGCAUAAACUCUAUUUCAUUAGUUAAUCUGAACAAUCAAGUUAGAAAAAAGAUUACAAACCAUACUGUACUGUAUGCAAGUAAGAGUUACAUAAUUAACAUUUCAAUUUUCAGCUACUCCUUCUGACAUUCUAAAUCUCUCUCUAUAUCCCUGCCUCUCUUGAUUUCUCCCUUUUAGCUGGCCUAGUCUUUGAUUUAGUAUUUGUGAUUGUGAUAAGAUAAGGACACCCCCGCCCCCUCCCGUGUGUAUUUUCAUUUUUGCAAUGCAGGUUUCUAGGUUGGGCUUUGGCUGUGGAGGAUUGUCUGGAAUUUAUAAUGCUCCCUUGUCGCAUGAAGAAGGAUGUUCAAUUAUUAAGGAAGUGUUCAAUAAGGGGGUUACCUUCUUUGAUACAUCAGAUCUUUAUGGAGAUAAUCAUGAUAAUGAAAUCAUGGUUGGUAAGGUAACAUAUUAUCCAACUAAUUCAUUGAGUGGUGGAAAACAUAAUUAUCUGUAUGAGCUGCAAAUUGUGAUAAUUUGAUUAGUCAUGUGUUAACAACUGAUACACAAAGAAAUUAUACUUUACAUGUAGCAAGUGGCAUGUAGUUAUGUUUCACCAAUAUCAUUAUAACAUUGCAUAAAAAUGAGUUUGUUUACACUAUCAUCUCGCUGGGAAAGACAGAUUUGUGGGAGAUUUAAAAGAUACUUAGAUGAGGCCUUUUCUUGUGUCAUCAGGCUUUAAAAGAACUUCCCCCGAGAAAAAGUUCAGUUGGCUACAAAAUUUGGUGUUACUAGAUCAGAAGGGAUAGUUCUGCAAUUGGGAGUAAAAGGUACUCCUGAAUAUGUGAGGGAGUGCUGUGAAGCAAGUCUUAAGCGUCUUGAUGUCAAGUAUAUUGAUUUGUACUAUCAGCAUCGAAUAGACACUUCAGUGCCAAUUGAAGACACUGUAAGCUUUGAAUGUUUUUCCUCUGCGAUCCUCUAAGUUUUUCAAUCUAGAUGAUUAAGUGCUUUAACAUUGAUCUUUGUAUAUAUGGAAGAUGGAGGAGUUGAAACAACUAGUAAAUGAAGGAAAGAUAAAUUAUAUUGGGUUGUCAGAGGCUAAUGCUGACACUAUAAAGAGAGCACAUGCUGUUCAUCCGAUCACUGCUCUGCAAAUGGAGUAUUCAUUAUGGAGCCGUGACAUUGAAGAAGAUAUAAUUCCACUUUGCAGGUAUUUUACACACAAAUACUAACUGUGCUGUUCUUAUAGUCACAAAUUACAAGUAUACUUGAAUUUUUCAGUUUGAUAUGUUUUCUAACUCUGUCAUGUAUGCUUUAAGGUUGGAUUAUCUCUAAAUUAUCUGAAAGAAUUUGCUUUUAUUUAACUUAUAAGCAUUUGUGCUUGCAGAGAACUCGGGAUUGGAAUAGUAGCAUAUAGCCCUCUUGGUCGUGGUUUUUUUGCAGGAAAGGCGGUGGUAGAAAGUUUGCCUAGUCAAAGCUUGCUGGUAUGUAGCUAGUAAUAACUAACAAAUGAUAGUUUUAAGUUUGCAUGACUAAGGGAAGGUUUGAACUAUUCGUUGGAUCACAUCUCUCCGGAGGGAAAAUGGAAUAGAUAUCAGUGUUAGUUCUAGCAUGUUUAAAUCAUUUCUUUUUCUUCAGGAUCAAUUCUGAAUGCCAGAAGCUACAAGCUACUCAUAGUAGCUUCUUAUCAGAAUUGAUUUUGGCUAUCAAAUGUAGAAGGAUUUCCAAACAUGCAAUUUUAUUCCUGCAGCGAUUCUCUACUGAAAUUUCUUCAUGUUUCUGGUAACAGACUAUGCAUCCCAGGUUCACAGGAGAAAACUUGGAAAAGAACAAGCUUUUCUAUAAACGACUUGAUGACAUGGCUUCUAAGCAUGCAUGCACUCCUUCUCAAUUAGCCUUAGCAAUGGCUUCUCCAUCAGGGAAAUGACAUAAUCCCUAUCCCUGGUAGAGUCUUAACUAUAUUUAGGAAGACUUAUGUGUUCAAUAUAAGCAUGAGUUGCUUACUAUCUGUUUCUAAAGUUAAUCUUUUUUAUCAUUUGAUAUUCUGCCAAUUUACUUUCUAGAUUUUACUAAUUUCUCUUAAUAAUCACUACUCAAUGAAGAAGGAAAAAAACAUGGUAUUACCAUGUUUGGAUCGGUUUUUCUUUCGUUAGAAUCAAUUCUGACACCCAAACAUUACUCACAAAAGCUUCUCCCCAUGAUUGAUUUUGACUUUAAAAUCAAUUGCAGAAGGAUUUUCAAACAUGCACUCAAAUCCUUUUCUAUACAACUUCUAUAAUAAAUCGAUCAUCUGUCUCUUUCAAGCAUAAUGUGCAUUUGUUCAUUGACUGUACUAUUGUCCAUAAAAUAUGUUGCUAGUUGCUACUAUAAGCAUGUGAUAGAUUGAUUCUAAUGACUAUGUGCUAAUCAUAUAUUACUCUGAUACCACAGGGACUACUAAACUGAGGAACUUUGAGAACAACAUUGGGUCUCUGAUUGUGAAGCUUACAGAGGAAGAUUUGAAAGAAAUUUCUGAAGCAGUUCCUGUUGAUGAAAUUGCUGGGAAACGAGAAUAUGAUAGCUUAUCAAAAUAUACUUGGAAGUUUGCAACUACACCUCCAAAGUAAUUGCAUAGAGAAGAACCGUUGAAGUGUGUAGUGAGUUACUGUUGAGUUUUUAUUUAGUCAUUAUGCUCAUCUCAAUAAAAUAACCUCUGGGAUUCUAGGAGUGAUCUGUUGGAAAAUGGAAAAGCAGUUAUACUACUACCUUCAAAUGUAUGCAUGCCAUUGUUAAUUCUACAACUUAACUGACACUCCUUUUACUAGCAAAAAAUUAUCUCUUAUGUGCAUAUUUCACCAUCUGCACUAUCAGUUCUACUUAACAGCUAUAAUGGCAUUCUGUUUUAGACUAUGGAUCUUUUUUCAUGAACUGAUUGAUAGUGGUUGAGUGAGCCAUAAUUUCUGCAUACAAAUCAGGGCCGGUCCCGACAUUUUGGAGGCCCUGGGCAAAUAAUAACAAUGGAUCCUUAAUAAUUUUAAGGUUCGAAAUUUCAUCAGAACUAUUAUAUUGGUUUGUUUGGCAACUUUCGAACCCGAUACAUAAAAGUAACAUAAACAGUUACUAACCACUAGACCAGCUCAAGUCAUUAAUAACAUCUUGAACAUUAAUUAUUAUAACUAAAUUUUAUUUUAGGGGAAAAGUUUAAUGAGAUUUUUUUUUGGGCCCCUUCUUUUUAGAAGCCCUGGGCUGUGGGCCUGCUUGCACAGGUCCAGGGCCGGCCUUGAUACAAAUAUCAGGGAACAAUGACUGCGGGACAGUAGCUCAAUUCGCCUGUAUCAAUCUUUAAAGCUGGAGAGUAUAACACUAUUUUAUAAAUUAGGUUACUCUUAUUGGAUAUUGGGGUUAUAAUGGUCUCUACUCGAGCUAUCUUCAAAGGAUAAUGUUUGGGGGACAUACGACGAUCCGCAACCACCAAUCAAUACACAUAUUGUGACCGUUUUUUGGGCGGCUUGAGACACAUCCACAACGUUAAUUAAAUUCAAAUGGUUUUUCAUUGUUAAGGUUUAACUUUGUUUUUAAAAUCAUAUUCAAACAAAUUUACACUUUUUAUUCUAAUUAUAAUAAUUAUUUUUAAUUUAAAUUUAAAUUACUUUUAUAACUUAAUAUUGAAAUUUAUGAUUUAAAUUAAAUGUUCACUAAUUUAUUUUAAUUCCAUUUAUAUUAUUUACCCAACUUUUUAGGGUACGAUUUAAAAAAUUAAAAUCACUUCUAAUAAUAAAUUACAAAUCAUAAUUUUUUUUUCCUAACUAAACGUGUGUUGAAUUUUGUAUAAAUUGCAAAACUAAACAUAAUAAAAUAUAAGAAAUUAGUGUUCCAUAAUUAGUGAUACAGAAGAAAGUGUAGAGAAAGUCAUCUUAUUCUCUAUUAGCAAAUAAAAGUAUAUCAGGUCGAUCCUUAGAUGCUAGAGCUGAUCAGAAAAAAGCAAAAAUUGCUAUAAGCAAAGCCAUGUGACCUUAAUUGCAAGAAAAGUUCACUCAGAGCAUCUUCAAUGAUAGGAACUUAUUUUGGGACUUAACUCAAUUUUUGUGGGUCCAAAUUGCUACAUAAAAUUUAAACACCCAUAAGGUCUUCAUACACAUUUCACUCUAGUGGUUGAGAUCUUAUUUUACUUUUUGACUGUACCCACAGUACCCAAUAUAUUUAUAUUAUUUAUUCCCCUCCUUAAUUUUCACUUUGGUUAUGGUAUUGAAAGAGAGAGGAAAAAAUAUUAUUUUAUUUAAGAUCUCACAUUUGAGAGUACAUGAGCUAAGGCAUGCCAUGUAGGAUAGCUCCAAUGGUGAGACCUAAUAAGAUCCGGAUCUUAUUUUAAGGUCCCAAAAUAAGGACUCCAUUAGAGAUGCUCUUAAACACGAAACACGAAUGCUUUUUCCAGCAAAUGUAAUUUGGACAGAAAGCAUUGAAUUAGAGCAAAUAAAUUGAUGUUAAAGGCAGAGGUUCAGUUUCUUGGUUAACUAAGAAUCACUCCAAGAAACUAGAAAGUGAGUUAGUAUAGUGGUUCAAUAUUUUAUUUUUUAAAUAUACGGUUAAAGCUUAUGUAAAUGAAAACAACUCUUUUAUAAACCUUUAUUAUUUUUUGCGCUAGUGUGAGAGAUUAGUCACACAAAUAUCUAUUAUGGGAAUAUCCCUACGAAUCAUUCCAAGCCACGAAUUAUAUUCCAAGAAAGCAUUAGAACGUUCUAGUAAGUAGUACUUACCGAACUAGGUCUGCAGUUAAAACUAAUUGAAGUCCUAAAGGUUCCACGUCAAACACCAACCAUUUUAACCCCUGAUUCACCCUUAUGGCCCUCAAGGGAACCACGUCUCCUCCUUUUACCAUGUGUGGACAAGAGAACCCACGUGAACCAAUUACCUUUUGGACCUAUACACACUAGACGUGGAACCAAACUGUCCACCACAAUGCUUGCCUUAAUUCUAUAUAAACCACCUCAUUCAUUGCUACUAUACCUAACAAAGGAGGUGUAGCAUUAAAAGCAUAGCUUAAAAACUUUACUAAGCUCUUACUAGAAAUUCUCUGAUACAACUUGUUCUUGAGUUAACUUUGCCAAUUUCUCUAAUUCAUCAAUGGCUGCUAUGCAAUCUAUCAUCUCUAGCCCUAUGAUCCGCAUGACCACCAGGUCAAGGGUGAACCAGUUCACCACUCCUGCUGUGUACAUGCCAAGCCUGAGAAGGAAUGCUACCCUGAGAGUUAGGUCCAUGGCUGAGGUAAGGGUGCUUAAAAUAAUUUUCAGACAUAUAGUACUUGUAACAUGCUUCAAUUUUUUAUGAGCACUAAUUUUGUUUGUACACAUGACGAGGAACAAUCUUGUGUGUAACUAUAUGAAUUUUGGUUAAUGUUUGAAGGGAGAGCCAAAAGAGCAACCUAUUGAACCUGUUACUAGCGCUAGCCCAGUUACACCAUCACCACCACCACCACCACCAAAACCUCGUGCACCAAAGGUGAGUGAGCCAAGUGUUCACUAUUUUUUUUUAUAAUAAGUUAUGCUAAUUACACCAUGGAUCUACAGUAUGAGACUUUUACUGACAUGAGUGAUGGUAAAUUUGCAGGUGAGCACUAAGUUUUCUGAUGUGAUGGCAUUUGGUGGGCCUGCACCUGAGAGGAUCAAUGGAAGACUAGCCAUGAUUGGGUUUGUAGCUGCAAUGGCAGUGGAAGUUGCCAGAGGGCAGGGAGUGUUUGAACAAAUAUCAGAUGGUGGAGUUCCAUGGUUCUUGGGGACAAGUGUGGUGUUCACUCUUGCUUCUUUGGUUCCACUGUUUCAAGGGGUUAGUGUGGAGUCAAAAUCCAAAGGUCUCAUGACCUCUGAUGCAGAACUCUGGAAUGGAAGGCUUGCUAUGUUGGGUUUGAUUGCCUUGGCCUUUACAGAGUAUGUUAAGGGAGGAACCCUGGUGUAAGAGUUCAAAGGCUUAGGAACAAUGUCUUAUAAGGAUUGUUUUAUAGUAGGUGAUGUAUGAAACUUGGUGUGUUUUUUAAUGCACAUAUAGAAUUAAUGAAAUUUCAUACCUUAAUCAUAAUCAGAUUUCUUGUUAUCACUUCUAAACUAAGAGCAAAAAUCGUUGAAGGCUAUUAUUAACUGUUGUGAUCCAUACAAAUCAAACAAUGUAUUGUUAACCUGCCUUAAUCGAAUAACUUAAACUGCACACAUGGAGAAAAGUUGGAAAUUGGAAAACAUGAUGAAGUUCUUGCUAAUGAGAAUCAGGUAAUUACUAUCCGGCAAUUGCAAUUAUAAUAAACAGAAAAUUAAUGUGGUUAAAACAUUCAGACCAUUUGUGUGGGGUAACCUGCAGUAAACCUUUAACUAUUGUAAUAGCUAAUAUCUAUCUAACAAUGCAUUCAGGAUAACAUUGAAAUGUCAUUAAACUAGUUCAUACUUCAUAAUGAUAGAUUCGAUGACAAUUGGCCAAUUGCAAUAGCAGAUACUUAAAUUACAUUUCAGGAUACCGAAUGGAACUUUCACUCUUAAUCAUAGAGAAAGCACAACAUGUCCUUUCUUUCUUGGUUGCCAAACACUUGAGACAGAAGAUUACAGCUGGGAGAUAAGUUUACACAUAUGGACUUGGGAAGCUUGGAGGGGUUGUUCAUAAAAUUGACUUGAGUAUGACUUGAGUUGGCAAUGUUAAAUCAUAAAAUACUAAUUAACUCAAUAUUCUGCUUUUGUUUAUGCUGUCGACCCACUUUUUUUAACACAUAAUGAUUAACAUUUAUUUGAAUUACUCUCAAUAUGUCCUUUUUUUCUUGGUUGCCAAACACUUGAGAGAGAAGGUUACACACAUGAAUUUGGGAAGCUGGGAGGGGUUGUUCAUAAAAUUGACUUGAGUAUGACUUGUGUCGACAAUGUUAAAUCAUAAAAUACUAAUUAACUCAAGUGGUUGUUCAUAAAAUUGACUUGAAUAUGACUUGAGUCAACAAUAUUAUUAAAUCAUAAAAUACUAAUUAACUAAAUAUUCUGCUUCCGUUCAUGCUAUCGACCAUAUCUUUUUAACACAUAUUAAUUGAAAUUUAUUUGGGUUUCACUCAACAUGUCCUUUUUUUUCUUGGUUGCCAAACCCUUCAGAGAGAAGGUUACACCUGAGACUGAGAUAGAAGUUGACACAUAUGGACUUGGGAAGCUUGGAGUGGUUGUCCAUAAAAUUAACUUGAGUCAAAAAUGUUAAAUAAUAAAAUAUUAAUUAACUCAAUAUUUUGCUUUUGUUUAUGCUAUCGACCCUCUCUUUUUAGCACAAUGAUUGAAAUUUAUUUGGGUUCUCACUCAAAAUGUGAGUCUCACCACCAAUUUAGUAUGUUUCAUGUGAAUUUCAACCACUAAAAGAAAGAAUUGAAAAAAGAGUUAAAAUAAGUGCUGUUAGCCACUUCUCAUAGUAACACUAUUGAAUAAUAUAGUGCUGACUGACAAUUGACCAAUGUUAACAUACAUAGUGUCAAACAUGGUGCUGACACAAAACGAGCUGGGUAGUAGAAACAACUAAAACUUUAGAGGAACAACAGCCUUUAACUAAGUACAAAAAUAGAAGCCGUGAUAUUGGGUUUUUUACCUAAGUAGUGUAGUUUUGUAGUAAAAUUACAGUUUUGAGGUACUUUUUUUUAUUUACCAUUCUGGUAUAAAUCGCCAUUGUCAGUGGCAAUUUUAUUUUAUUUUUUUAAAGAAUCGCUAAUGCUAUUGGCAUUUUAGUUUUUCUUUUUAGUUUUUUUAUUAAAUUGCCAACAUGGUUGGUGUUUUUCUUAUUUUUUUAAACAAUCGCCAAACAUGUUGGCGUUUUAUUACUUUUUUUACAGUUUUUUUUAAAUGUCAUAUAUAUAUAUAUAUAAACAACUAAAAUUGUAUUUAAUCAAUUGAUACUCACCCGUGUCUUAUUCACUUUUAUAGUGUCUCCGAUGGUUAGUUUAAGUGAUAAAAGUUUAAGACAUGAGAGUUGAGUGAGAUGAAUGGUGAAGGAUUCAUGGUUCGAACCCUAGGAGAGACUAAUUUACUAACAUUACUAACAACUAACAUUUACUUAUAAAAAAACUCACUUUUGCAGUACUAUGGUCAUAAGUAUUUGAACCGAUAUUUAAAGAUAAACAAUACGCAUUACAUAAUUUAAUUUAAGAGAAAUGGCACAAAAGUAUGUGAGUAUCAAUGGAUUAAAUACCAUUUUAAUUGCUGGUUUUUUAAAAAAAUAUAAGCCAACAAGUUGGCCAUUUAAAAAAAAUGUAAAAAAAGUAGUAAAACACCAACAUGGUUGGGGAUUGUUAAAAAAAAUUAAAAAUAAGAAAAAUGCCAACAUGGUUGGCAAUUUAAUAAAAAAAGGAAAAAAUAAAAUAAAACACCAAUAGCAUCGACGAUUUUUUAAAAAAUAAAAAAAAUGUCACUAACAGUGGCGAUUUAUACUAAAAUGGUAAAUAAAUAAAAAAGUACACAAAGCUGUAAUUUUGUUACAAAAUUAAACUGGGGUUGUCUAAAUGACCCAAGGUAAAAAUUGGGUUAAAUCACCCUUUGAUGAAGUGUGCCAAUAAUAUUAUAACAUGUAUUUUUAUAAAUUCUAACUUAUUUCAGUAUUUAUUUUAUUUAUAUUUUCAUAAUAUUCAUUUUAUAUAAUAAUUUAUUUGCAUACUAAUAAACCAAUCAAUUAGUAAUAAUAACACAUAACUCCUUUUUCAAAAAGAAAAAUUGAGAACCCUAAUCCCAAUUUCUUCCAUGCUUUGAUCAAAAUCAUUUGAGUAAAAUCUCUCAAAUAUGAAACUUCUGUGUAAUCAAUUGAUUGUAGUAAACAAGCAAACUCUUCCUCGUCAAUUACGUUUUCAUUCAAAUGAUAAAAAGAAAUUAAUUUCUGCACCAUAUUUCAUUACCAUUGCACGAGUUAUCUUCAAAUGUCAUAGGUUUUUGAUGUGAAAUCAAUAAAUCCCUAAUCACCCCCUUUAAGAAAUGUAUGCCAUAAACUCUAUGCUAAGAGUAAAAGCAAUUAGGAAGAUGCAUGAAAGGUGAUUGCCGACGACGGUGAUGCAACUUUGCUUCUUGGGAGAACAAAUUAGAGUAGCAGACCAAGAAAGCAAGGAAGAAAUUGGGGAUUAGGGUUCUCAAUUUUUGUUUGGAAAAAAAAGUUGUGUGAUUAUAUCAUAAUUAAUUUGUUUAUUGUGCAAAUAGAUUAUUUUAUAGAAUGAAUAUUAUGAAAAUAUAAAUGAAAGAAAUAGUGAAAUGACUUGGAAUUUAUAAAACACAUAAUAUAAUAUUAUUCACACACCUCAUCAAAGGAUGAUUUAACCCAAUUUUUACCUUGGGUCAUUUAGACAACCCCAAUUAAACUACACUACUCGGGUACAAAACCCGCAAUAUUCCAUCGAUACUUAUACUAGCGCAAGAGCUUAUUCAUUACAUGGAUAUCUCAUUUUCAUAUAGAGGGAUGGAUCUCUACACUCAUCCAAGGCUGGUAAGAAGCAAGCACAUGCAGUUCAUAAGCAGAAUGAAAUGAAGCACGGCAAACAAAUUGUAAGGGUAAUGAGACUACACGAAUAAGAAGCUCCAGGUGGAACCAUACCAACGAGAUAAUACUAGUUGCCAGACAAAUGGGAUGAAAAACUCAUCUGGAUGACUCACUUGUUCAUAUGUGAAGCGCAGUUGAGUAAACAUCUGAAAAACAAGAUUCAGCCUAAUAGAAACAAACAAGACAAGUACUGCUCCUUAUAUACCAAGAAACCAAAAGAACGUUCUAGUAGUGACCGAACUAGGUCUGCAGUUAAAACUAACACCAACCAUUUUAACCCCUGAUUCACCCUUAUGGCCCUCAAGGGAACCACGUCUCCUCCUUUUACCAUGUGUGGACAAGAGAACCCACGUGAACCAAUUACCUUUUGGGCCUAUACACACUUGACGUGGAACCUAAAUGUCCACCACAAUGCUUGCCUUUAAUUCUAUAUAAACUACCUUAUUCUAUUCAAUGUAUCAUCAAACAAAGGAGGUGUAGCAUUAAAAGCAUAGCUUGUAAACUUGACUAAGCUCUUCCUUGAAAUUCUCUGAUAUAGCAAGUUCUUGUGUUAUCUCAACCAACACUUCCAAUUCAGCAAUGGCUUCCUCAACUUCUGCUAUGCAAUCUAUCCUGGCUAACCCUAUGAUCCGCAUGACCACCAGGUCAAGGGUGAACCAGUUCACCAUUCCUUCUGUCUACAUGCCAAGCCUGAGAAGGAACUCUAGCUUGAGAGUUAGGUCCAUGGCUGAAGAGCCAAAAGAGCAAAGUGCUAGCCCAGUUACUCCAUCACCACCACCACCAAAACCUCGUGCACCAAAGGUGAGUGAGCCAAGUGUUUGAAGAAUAUAAUUUACAUAGUUGUGACUCUGUUCACUAUUUUCUUUACAUUUAAUUAGUUAUAUAUGCUAAUUAAUCCUUGGAUAUGAGACUUUACUAACAUGAGUGAUGGUAAAAUUGCAGGUGAGCACUAAGUUUUCAGAUGUGAUGGCAUUUGGUGGGCCUGCACCUGAGAGGAUCAAUGGAAGAUUGGCCAUGAUUGGGUUUGUAGCUGCAAUGGCAGUGGAAGUUGCCAGAGGGCAGGGAGUGUUUGAACAAAUAUCAGAUGGUGGAGUUCCAUGGUUCUUGGGAACUAGUGUGGUGCUCACUCUAGCUUCAUUGGUUCCACUGUUUCAAGGGGUUAGUGUGGAGUCAAAGUCCAAAGGAGUCAUGACCUCUGAUGCAGAGCUCUGGAAUGGAAGGCUUGCUAUGUUGGGUUUGAUUGCCUUGGCCUUUACAGAGUAUGUUAAGGGAGGAAUCCUGGUGUAAGAGUUCAAAGGCUUAGGAACAAUGUAUUAUAAGGAUUGAUUUAUAGAAGGUUAUGCAUGAAACUUGGUGUGUUUAUUAAUACACAUAGAAUUAAUGAAAUUUCAUACCUUAUUCAUAAACAGAUUUCUUGUUAUCUAUUUCUAAACUAAGAGCAAAAAUCGUUGAAGGCUAUUAUUAACUGUUG
Molecule: long non-coding RNA, 43530 nt
Filed under: Lotus japonicus
Lineage: Eukaryota; Viridiplantae; Streptophyta; Magnoliopsida; Fabales; Fabaceae
Description: long non-coding RNA (LJAP_LNC002104)
Source: RNAcentral